Marmota monax (woodchuck) is the source of this 294-nucleotide long non-coding RNA. RefSeq lists it as uncharacterized. The record is from RefSeq and is a predicted model, not a curated record. Lineage: Eukaryota; Metazoa; Chordata; Mammalia; Rodentia; Sciuridae. The transcript is spliced from 2 exons.
GAGCAAGGGGGAGAGCAGCAGAAGGAGAGUUCAGAGAGGUUGCCGGGAGCUAUAUCAUGUCGGGCCAGGCAGGCCAGAAGAGAAAACGAAAGCCCAGAGACCGGCUGAAGGUCACGCAGCUCGUUAGUAAUCCAGUCAGGAUGAGAACUCCGAAACCACGCCAGAAUGUUGUAUGAACUACCUUUUCCCGGCUGUCAUCUUUAUUCAUCCUUCCUCCUCCUCCCCCCACACUCUGACAGAAUUCUGCUCCUCUAUUAUUAUUCUUGUUACACUCGGCUUGGUGUUAUUUACGUA